Molecule: RNA transcript, 1127 nt
Organism: Labeo rohita (rohu)
Lineage: Eukaryota; Metazoa; Chordata; Actinopteri; Cypriniformes; Cyprinidae
Gene name: AP-1 complex subunit sigma-2-like
Exons: 7
Source: RefSeq, a predicted model, not a curated record
UCCAACGAGUAAGCGGUCGUCAGCUGACGCUGUUUAGCAUCUAUUGUACACAAGACUCGAGCUGAGACAGACGCGAAUCACUGUGAAUCCAGAACUCAUGUGAAUUCAUCCCUCAUUUACAAACGGACCUCUACAUAAAGAUGCAGUUCAUGCUGUUGUUCAGCAGACAGGGGAAGCUCCGUCUGCAGAAAUGGUACGUUCCUCUGUCCGAUAAGGAGAAGAAGAAGAUCACGCGGGAGCUGGUGCAGACCGUUCUGGCCCGCAAGCCCAAGAUGUGCAGCUUCCUGGAGUGGAGGGACCUGAAAAUCGUGUAUAAAAGAUAUGCCAGUCUGUAUUUCUGCUGUGCCAUUGAGGACCAGGACAAUGAACUGAUCACACUGGAGAUCAUCCACCGCUACGUUGAGCUGCUCGACAAAUAUUUCGGCAGCGUCUGCGAGCUGGAUAUCAUCUUUAACUUCGAGAAGGCGUAUUUCAUCUUGGACGAGUUCCUGCUGGGAGGCGAGGCUCAGGAGACGUCGAAGAAGAAUGUCCUGAAAGCCAUCGAGCAGGCGGAUCUGCUGCAGGAGAGCCAGACUGAAGACUGGGGAGGUUUGGCCAAUGAGGAGAUCUUAUAAGGGAGCGAAGUCCCGCCCACCCUGUCAGCCUAUUGGUGUUUUGAGUCCGAACAUGUCGCCCGAGUCCUCUGGACUCUUCCAGAGUUAAACCGGUUCAGGUCGACGCGAUUCAGCCCCGACAUGAGUACUUUAACGUGCCCGUGUACUGAUUGGCUGCAUGCUGAGCCCCUCCCCUGCACGCCUGCUGGCCCCGCCUCUGCCUCCAGCACCGUCCAAUCAGAGAGCUGCAUCUUGGACCCAGUUUCACCUGCACACUGAAAUGUGUCGUUUGUGUUUGACCGUGUGUGUGUUCAACUGUGCUGUGAAUCAAUGUUAUGUCUAUAUCACGUUCUGGCAACACGCAUUCAUGUAGUUUGAGGAAAUCAAACCUUAGCGGUGGACAGAUCUGUUCUUUACUUUACUUUAAGAUGUUUUUAACAGAUAUUUCAAAUACACUUCAUAUCAUUGAAAAAUUGAAAAGAUGUUGUUAAAGGAGAAGCCCACUUCCAGAACAACAAUUCACAAAUAAUUUAC